RNA transcript from Salarias fasciatus (jewelled blenny), 1501 nucleotides. It is a transcript of the gene named moesin-like, with no coding region annotated. The transcript is spliced from 3 exons. Lineage: Eukaryota; Metazoa; Chordata; Actinopteri; Blenniiformes; Blenniidae. The record is from RefSeq and is a predicted model, not a curated record.
GGAGCAGUGCAUUGUGUCCUGCGUGUUUGACAGAGAAUUCGGCAUCAAAAGCAUGAAAAAAUGGUUGUAAACUGUGCGGCGGUUGGGUGCACCAACUACAGAGGGAAGAAGGCAGGAUUGUGGUUCCACAGGUUUCUGGCCGAUGCUGAACGCAGAGAGAAGUGGAUAGCUGCACUUCGGCGUGCUGGUUCAGAACACAGAAACACGGAGUGGCGAGCAUCAAGAAACAGUCAUAUAUGCAACGAACAGUUCGUUGGAGGAGCUGUCAGCAACGACCCCGUCUCUCCAGCUUACACGCCAUCUAUCUCCCAACACGUCCCCCCAAAAACGACGGCGCGAGCGAGCUCUUCAAAGCUACAUGCGCAGAAAAAGAAGGGCAGCUGCCAGGGUGUUGUCAACCCUGCAUGCUAAUUGCCGGGAUGGUCAGCCGCCAGAAGGCAUAGGUGACCUGGAAAUGGGAGUUGAAGGAAAAAACUGUGUGGUGGAUGACACUGAAGAUCUGGGAGGAUCAGACGGAGGAGGUUAUGCAACUGACAGAGCAGAUGUCGGCGAAACCCAUGGAGAAGGGGAAUUACAAACUGAGAUGCCAUCGGGACCAGCUGUCGAUUCGAGGCUGGAUCAAGCAGCUCAAACAGACUUGUCUUCAUCUGACAUAUCUGCUAUCGUUGCAGACAAUAUUUCUCUUCGAGGUGAAGUGUCACAGCUGAGAGAAACAGUGAACAGGCUGUCCAUCAGUGAAGACAGCUUCAGUUGUGAUAACAAAGCCCUGACCUCUGACCUGGCCGGCGCCCGAGACGACAGCAUGAGGACCCAGAACGACCUGCUGUACGCCGAGAACGUCCGGGUGGGCCGGGACAAGUACAAGACGCUCCGGCAGAUCCGGCAGGGCAACACCAGGCAGAAGAUCGACCAGUUCGAGUCAAUGUAGGCCCCCGUAGGCCCCUGUAGGCCCCCGUAGGCCCCUGUAGGCCCCGAGGGGCGGGGGGGGCGGGGGCUCCCGGGACCCGGGGACCCGGCUCAUGGAUUCACUCCAGUCUGAAGAUCCUCCAGGAACAAACCUGCAGCAGGAAAUCCGCCUCCAGCUGAUUGACUGUGAUUCAACAGCAGCUCGGUUCUGUCAUGUGGACCCAGCUGAACCUGAAACCCAAUAAAACCACCUGAGACCCUGCUGCACCGCUCAUUCCCUGCUCUCAUGGAUUCAUCCUGUCAUUCAUCCUCUCAUUCCUGUGACUCUUGCUCUCGUUCUCUGUUCCUCGUCCGGCUUCUCUCCGUCUCUCUGAUAAUCUCUCGGUUAAACUUCAGUGAUUUUAUGGUUUUAUCUGCAGCUCUGGACUCUUUCACUCACCAACCUUUACACCAGAGCUGCCUUUGAUCUGAAGUCCUGUUUAUGUUGGAACAUCGCGCAGAACGUCUGGUUCCUUCACACCAGGGAGUCAAACCGAAGCUCACACUGAAAACAAAUGUUUGUGAAAUUCACGGAAAAUUACUGUAGAAUGCAGUG